GAUUCCACAGAUCCAGGCUGGGGACAAGCCGAAUUUAGGGUAUAGUUCCCAAAAUGCCACAAAAUAGACUGCUUUCUAGUUCAUAAACCAACGGGGUUCAGUCCAGAAUGGUGUAGGGACCAGUGCUGGGAGGGGCUCUGCCUUCAGCCUGGGGAGGAACAGGGAGAAAGCAUUCCGCACGGCCUGAAAACGAUGCUCUUCCUUUCGAAAUCCGUGCUCCCCUGGAGUCUGAGGCUCACUGUAUCCUCUGAGAAAGGUCCAGGGCAGAGACGGCCCCAGGGUCAGAAGAACGGGACUGUACCUCAGUGGCACAUCUGUAAACUGAGGCAAAGGAUCCAAGCGCUGAUCUGUGGCCGGCUGGCACUGACCCGUGGCCAAUCCCCGGGACACACGGCACAGGGUGCACGCGAAACACCUGCCUACUCCCCCAGGGAACCCCGGUGCUGCCCCUCCCAGGGACUGAGCUCCAACCUAAUGAGGUAACAGCCACAUCUCACCUUCAAAACAAGGGCAUCCUUUGAAAAGCUGCCACAAGUCGGGUGCCAGAGGAGUAGAUCGCGUUUUCAAACGCACCACCCUACACGCUAAUGAGUCCUUACCGAAGUCGCUCGGGCUUUAGCAAGACAGACCCGCUGUCACUGAGGGCUUCUCUCUGCUGGGUCUGAGCUCGCACACCUCAGGCUUCGCAGCACCCGUCUACAUCUAAACUACUGCUGUGCCUUUUGCAAAAGGCGCCAGCCCAGAAAGCACAGGGUUGUGAGCUCCGUCCCUCAUAUCAACCAAGGAAAAGCAAGAAAGGAAAACCCACAGCCAUCUCGUAGUGACCUACGUUGACGGUGACACCGCGACUGAGUAAGUCCAGGCUGACUUCAAGAAAUUCACGUCUACCCUAGCCCAAAGAGCAACAACGGUUGAUGACUAAUUUAUCUCAGCCUCAAACGGGUUGACCUCACUCGACCAGCCGCGACUUCUGGCACCCACAGAUGGCUUCCACUGCGGCCUGACAGAUGGAGAAACUCAGAGCCCAGGUCACCCGCCUGACACACACCCCUUUAACUGUGCCCCCUGGCUUAUAAUGGGGCUCACUUCUCUGGGGGCCGAUGCUGCAUUCCUACCAUCUCUGUCUAAUAAAUCCUACUCAUGCCUCUUUC
Molecule: long non-coding RNA, 1151 nt
Organism: Cavia porcellus (domestic guinea pig)
Lineage: Eukaryota; Metazoa; Chordata; Mammalia; Rodentia; Caviidae
Exons: 2
Source: RefSeq, a predicted model, not a curated record